CCAAAUUUGGGGAGGGGACAAUGUCCUGUCUCCCCCCAGCCCAAAACACCCCCAAAAUAUUUUGGGGAGGGGGUGAGACCCCCGGAGGAAGGGGGACCCGAGGGAUUUUGGGGUGGGGGGGGGGGGUCCCGGUGAAUUUGGGGGGGUCUGGGGGAUUUUGGGGACGUUCCUGGGGUGUCCCCAAGGAUUUUGGGGGGGUCAGGGUGGGGUCAGGGACAUUCCCAGGGGGUCACUGGGAUUUUGGGGACAUUCCCGGGGUGUCCCCAAGGAUUUUGGGGGGGGUCAGGGUGGGUCAGGGACAUUCCCAGGGGGUCACUGGGAUUUUGGGGACAUUCCCGGGGUGUCCCCAAGGAUUUUGGGGGGGUCGGGGGGGGGGGUCAGGGACAUUCCCAGGGGGUCACUGGGAUUUUGGGGACAUUCCCGGGGUGUCCCCAAGGAUUUUGGGGGGGUCGGGGGGGGGGUCAGGGACAUUCCCAGGGGGGUCACUGGGAUUUUGGGGACAUUCCCAUGGGGGUCUGGGGGAUUUUGGGGACAUUCCCGGGGUGUCCCCAAGGAUUUUUGGGGGGUCCAGGGGGGUCAGGGACAUUCCCAAGGGGGUCACUGGGAUUUUGGGGACAUUCCCAGGGGGGGUCACUGGGAUUUUGGGGACAUUCCUGGGGUGUCCCCAAGGAUUUGGGGGGGGGGGGGUCAGGUACAUUCCCAGGGGGUCACUGGGAUUUUGGGGACAUUGCCGGGGUGUCCCCAAGGAUUUUGGGGGGGGUCAGGGUGGGUCAGGGACAUUCCCAGGGGGUCACUGGGAUUUUGGGGACAUUCCUGGGGUGUCCCCAAGGAUUUUGGGGGGGUCGGGGGGGGGGUCAGGGACAUUCCCAAGGGGGUCACUGGGAUUUUGGGGACAUUCCCGGGGUGUCCCCAAGGAUUUUUGGGGGGUCCAGGGGGGUCAGGGACAUUCCCAGGGGGGUCACUGGGAUUUUGGGGACAUUCCUGGGGUGUCCCCAAGGAUUUGGGGGGGGGGGUCAGGUACAUUCCCAGGGGGGUCACUGGGAUUUUGGGGACAUUGCCGGGGUGUCCCCAAGGAUUUUGUGGGGGGGUCCAGGGGGGUCAGGGACAUUCCCAGGGGGUCACUGGGAUUUUGGGGACAUUCCCGGGGUGUCCCCAAGGAUUUUGGGGGGGGGGUCCUUGCCUUGCGGCGGGG
Molecule: long non-coding RNA, 1192 nt
Filed under: Corvus moneduloides (New Caledonian crow)
Lineage: Eukaryota; Metazoa; Chordata; Aves; Passeriformes; Corvidae
Description: lncRNA (ENSCMUG00000018592.1)
Source: RNAcentral